This 513-nucleotide ribosomal RNA is filed under the name uncultured bacterium. RNAcentral describes it as "bacterial SSU rRNA". It matches the Rfam family "Bacterial small subunit ribosomal RNA", at positions 227 to 757 of the family's 1533-position model. The record is from RNAcentral.
GAGGCCGCGUCCCAUUAGCUUGUUGGUGAGGUAACGGCUCACCAAGGCCGCGAUGGGUAGCUGAUCUGAGAGGAUGAUCAGCCACACUGGAACUGGAACACGGUCCAGACUCCUACGGGAGACAGCAGUUGGGAAUCUUGGACAAUGGGGGAAACCCUGAUCCAGCCAUGCCGCGUGAGUGAUGAAGGCCUUCGGGUUGUAAAACUCUUUCGACGGGGACGAUAAUGACGGUACCCGUAGAAGAAGCUCCGGCUAACUUCGUGCCAGCAGCCGCGGUAAUACGAAGGGGGCUAGCGUUGUUCGGAAUUACUGGGCGUAAAGCGCGCGCAGGCGGUCUUCCAAGUCAGUGGUGAAAGCCCGGAGCUCAACUCCGGAACUGCCAUUGAAACUGUUAGACUUGAGGACGAGAGAGGUGAGUGGAAUUCCCAGUGUAGAGGUGAAAUUCGUAGAUAUUGGGAAGAACACCGGUGGCGAAGGCGGCUCACUGGCUCGUAUCUGACGCUCAGGCGCGAU